GCAAACGCAGCCGAAUAGGACUAAGCAUCUGAGCGCGCUUUAAUAAACAGAUGGAUGAGAAAAUAUCUCGUCUUGUAGGUUCGAAUCCUACCGUUUGCA
RNAcentral lists this transfer RNA (99 nucleotides) under Caudoviricetes sp. Its description in RNAcentral is "tRNA-Ile". It matches the Rfam family "tRNA". From Rfam's summary of the family: Transfer RNA (tRNA) molecules are approximately 80 nucleotides in length. Their secondary structure includes four short double-helical elements and three loops (D, anti-codon, and T loops). Further hydrogen bonds mediate the characteristic L-shaped molecular structure. tRNAs have two regions of fundamental functional importance: the anti-codon, which is responsible for specific mRNA codon recognition, and the 3' end, to which the tRNAs corresponding amino acid is attached (by aminoacyl-tRNA synthetases). tRNAs cope with the degeneracy of the genetic code in two manners: having more than one tRNA (with a specific anti-codon) for a particular amino acid; and 'wobble' base-pairing, i.e. permitting non-standard base-pairing at the 3rd anti-codon position. The record is from RNAcentral. Lineage: Duplodnaviria; Heunggongvirae; Uroviricota; Caudoviricetes.